GCCAGUGUGGCUCAGUGGAUAGAGCGUCGGCCUAAGGCCGGAAGGGUCCCGGGUUCAAUUCCGGCCAAGGGCA
RNAcentral lists this transfer RNA (73 nucleotides) under Myotis davidii. It matches the Rfam family "tRNA". From Rfam's summary of the family: Transfer RNA (tRNA) molecules are approximately 80 nucleotides in length. Their secondary structure includes four short double-helical elements and three loops (D, anti-codon, and T loops). Further hydrogen bonds mediate the characteristic L-shaped molecular structure. tRNAs have two regions of fundamental functional importance: the anti-codon, which is responsible for specific mRNA codon recognition, and the 3' end, to which the tRNAs corresponding amino acid is attached (by aminoacyl-tRNA synthetases). tRNAs cope with the degeneracy of the genetic code in two manners: having more than one tRNA (with a specific anti-codon) for a particular amino acid; and 'wobble' base-pairing, i.e. permitting non-standard base-pairing at the 3rd anti-codon position. Lineage: Eukaryota; Metazoa; Chordata; Mammalia; Chiroptera; Vespertilionidae. The record is from Rfam by way of RNAcentral.